AAGCACGACUCUGCAGAAGGAACAAAGCACCCUCCCCCUGGGCUCCUGGUUGCAGAGCUCCAAGUCCUCACACAGAUACACCUGUUUGAGAAGCAGCGGGCAAGAAAGACGCAAGCCCAGAGCUGCCUAAGCUUUAGCCAGCAUGUGCCUUUUGAUUGACAGGCCCUGCCAUUUCUGCGGGCUCAGGUCCCUACUGGCUCAGGCCCCUGCCUACCUCAGCAAGGCCACAAUGAACCAGGGAAUCCCUUUUAGGCACUUGCUUCUGGUGCUGCAACUCGUGCUACUCCCAGCAGCCACUCCGGGAAAGAAAGUGGUGCUGGGCAAAAAAGGGGAUACAGUGGAACUGACCUGUACAGCUUCCCAGAAGAAGAGCAUACAAUUCCACUGGAAAAACUCCAAUCAGACAAAGAUUCUGGGAAAUCAGGGCUCCUUCUUAACUAAAGGUCCAUCCAAGCUGAGCAAUCGCGCUGACUCAAGAAGAAGCCUUUGGGACCAAGGAAACUUUCCCCUGAUCAUCAAGAAUCUUAAGAUAGAAGACUCAGAUACUUACAUCUGUGAAG
Molecule: small RNA, 560 nt
Filed under: Pongo abelii (Sumatran orangutan)
Lineage: Eukaryota; Metazoa; Chordata; Mammalia; Primates; Hominidae
Description: processed transcript
Source: RNAcentral